This 571-nucleotide ribosomal RNA is filed under the name uncultured bacterium. RNAcentral describes it as "bacterial SSU rRNA". It matches the Rfam family "Bacterial small subunit ribosomal RNA", at positions 347 to 916 of the family's 1533-position model. RNAcentral also lists the same sequence under 1 other name. The record is from RNAcentral.
GGCAGCAGUGAGGAAUAUUGGUCAAUGGAGGAAACUCUGAACCAGCCAAGUCGCGUGAAGGAAGAAUGUCCUAAGGAUUGUAAACUUCUUUAGCGAGCGAGUAAGGACUUCCACGCGUUGGGAGUUUGAAAGUAGCUCGAGAAUAAGUAUCGGCUAACUCCGUGCCAGCAGCCGCGGUAAUACGGAGGAUACGAGCGUUAUCCGGAUUUAUUGGGUUUAAAGGGUGCGCAGGUGGUCCUGCAAGUCAGUGGUGAAAAGCUGAGGCUCAACCUCAGCCUUGCCGUUGAAACUGCAAGACUUGAGAGUACAUGAUGUGGGCGGAAUGCGAAGUGUAGCGGUGAAAUGCAUAGAUAUUACGCAGAACUCCGAUUGCGAAGGCAGCUCACAAAGGUAUGUCUGACACUGAGGCACGAAAGCGUGGGGAGCAAACAGGAUUAGAUACCCUGGUAGUCCACGCCGUAAACGAUGAUUACUCGAAGUAUGCGAUAUGACAGUAUGCUUCCAAGCGAAAGUGAUAAGUAAUCCACCUGGGGAGUACGCCGGCAACGGUGAAACUCAAAUGAAUUGACGG